Condylura cristata (star-nosed mole) is the source of this 2951-nucleotide long non-coding RNA. RefSeq lists it as uncharacterized. The record is from RefSeq and is a predicted model, not a curated record. The transcript has 4 exons. NCBI's taxonomy places the organism in Eukaryota, Metazoa, Chordata, Mammalia, Eulipotyphla, Talpidae.
AGCUGUCUCUGGCUCUCCACCCUGGCGGGGAGGAUUAAGGAGCAGACUACCCCAGCCUGCUGCAGGCUUUGGGGCCACGGCCACCAAGAAAGGGUUCAGCCUUUUGGGAACAAGAAGUUGAUUGGCCCAGCCCUCCCGGUCUGGACAGAAUCUUUUAAACCAGCCCUUCGUAAGCCACCGGACACACAGAAACAUGGCCAACCAGGGCUGCCUUUCCGCCAGAGACUGCAGCCUGAGUUCCUUGAAAGCACCGAGGUGCUCUGCCUGUUCAUCUCUGCAUUCUGGCCCCUGGUGGUUCAACAACCACAAAACUUUGUAAGAUGAAUGAUUGAUUAAACGAGGGCUGAAGUUAGCUGGGAAAGCUUCACCGAAGAGAUGGAUUUACUGAAAGCCCAGGAUGGAUCAAGCCAGUCCAAGUCAGGAUAGAUGCUGGGGGAUUCCUGAGGAGUUCAGUGCUGAGGGCCAGAGCAAGCCUGCAGAUGGAUGGGCUGUCCUCAUCAAGACCACCCCAGCCUGCCACUUCCAGGAGCCCUGCUGGGCAACUGCCCCUUAGCCAGUCCUUCCAAGUUCCCGGGAACUGGACAUCCUGUCCUCCUUCGAGUGGCCCUGGCCUUCCUCAGACCUUCGGAGUCGCUCCAGAGUCAUUGAUGCCAAUGGUGGAGGCCCCUUUCUCCCCAUCAUUGAAGACCCCUUUCUUUCCUAUCAGAAAACCAAUUUUGUCACUGGUUUCAAAGAAGAUAAGCUCAAGACCUUACAGAGAUUUUCUUUGAAAACUCUCACCACCCCUGUCUGUGUGUGCACCCCCAGUGACUGCCGCUGGACUGGGGAGCAGUGGAGAGGGGGAGGGCACACUGUCUGUAGUGUUGGGGGAAAAGGUGUCCGGAAUGAACUCCACAAACGCGGGUUUUAUGGAUUCCACCCCCACCAUGACCGAAGAGAUCCAAAUCGCCAAGGACUACAAAUCCCAUAAUGCUAUGAUCACGAAAGGGAGGACCCGUACCUCCAGAGCUGUGAGAAUAAACAGCAUUUGGUAUUUUGUUGCAGCCAUCCAAGCAAACUAAUACAUGCCUCAAUAGAUAAUUAGUACAACUUCACAAGUGAUGCUAUCAACUUCAAGUUCUUCGCAUCCGAAGGUACAGAAUGCCAGGUUGUUCCACUAAUGUUCAUUACUUGGUUAAGGUGACCCCUGCCAGAUCUGAAAACAUGAAUAUUGAAAACAUUCAUUUGCCAUUUUGACAAAUAGCAAAUAACUAGUGGGACAAAACCUUAACCCCCUGGAAUAUCUUGUUCUUCAACAAGAUAUCCUCAAUGCAGUAUCAUUUGUUGGUGACCUUAGCUUGAGUCAAUUGUGUCUUUGAAUAUUGCAAAAUGAUAAUUUUUCUAAUUGUCUCUUUUCACAUCUGUUGGCUAGUAUUUUUGCAAAGAAAAGUUGUCUCUCAUCAACAGGAAUUAACUACAUUUCCUCUUUAAAAGGCAAGGUAAAUGUUGAAUUCUUUCUUUUUAAUUACUAAUUUCCUAAAUAAGGAAUUGGCUCCACAGUCACCUCCAAUGAUGGUAAAUGAGUUUCUCGCUGCCUCACAGUUCAGACAGUUAUUUAUUUAUUUGUCUGUUUCCCUGCCUCUCCAGCAGUCACCAUGGUCUGAUGGGUCUCUAUUUGUUCAGUGUUUUACAAUCAGUUGUAUCAUAUUCUUUUCCAUGCUCAGAUUGUCCCAGAUUUGGCCAAUGCUUUCAAAUUCUAGGCCUCUAAGGAAAUGUUAGAAAAGUGGGGCUUGGGGCUUGGGGUUGGGAGAGGUGCGGGGGGGGGGUCUCUCCAGAAGACCAUUCUUAGAAGUCCCUGCCAGACACCAGGGAUAUGGGGUGGAAUAGGGACGCCCCUGAAGGAAAACAACAUGAGGCAAGAUGAGGAGGGAUUUCUUGAGCAUGGGUUCUGUUUAGGGAAUGAAGUAAACUGGAAAAAUUAGAAAUUGAACGCCCAGACCCCUCAGGUCUGCCCCUAGCGGGUCUCACCAAUUUGCUCUGUGUCAAAACAAACAAACAACAAACCAGCAGCCUGCACCUCUGUGUCUUAGCAUGCAGGUCUGCCAGGGAGUCUGGAGGACAUACUCCGUGCAGGCUUGGUAAAGGCAGGAAGCACUGUCAGCGUGUAAGAUGCCACCGGUAGGGUCUGUCCCCAGAAACCAAAUAUCACCAUGAAGACAGGGAAGUGGAGAAGGAGGAGCACGUGUGUGUGUGAAGCACGUUCCUCACAGCUGAGAGUUGUGCAAAAGCCUAAGCACUACAACCUGGGAAGGACAAAAUUGGCCUGAGGAAGCACCCAGCCUUCCCCCAAGUAGGCAGGAGACGAUACAUUCAGGUUCUCUGACCAUGCCAGCUCUGGUACUCGGAGGCUGUGGGCCUGCUGCCCACUUACAGCCCACAGGGGCUGAAACUAACCAGCACAGCUGAAUUGGGCAGAAGGAAAGCCAGAGGCAGCACCCAGUGUCCAGUCAUGUUAGCUCCCCACUCGGAGUGUGCUGAGUUCUGAGGGCCUGUCCCCAGCCCCCUCCUCCUGUCGAUUCUAUUCCCACCCAGACUUGAACUUCCUAAAAGGCAGUGAGUGGCCUAAAGGCCUGAUCAAUGAAAGCCACUAUAGUUGCUUCCUCCUGAGCCUUCAGAUAUGAUGGCAUCCCAAGAAUGCCUGUGGGUCUCCUCGGAGAAUAAUAACAAGACCUCCCAGUUUCCUUUGGAAGGCGGUGGAGGCUUACAUUGGAUCACUGGAUAGCUCCCAUUCUCUCCCUGCUGUUCAGCCUCAGUUCUCCUCCUCCUGCACCCCACCCCCAUUCCUGUUGUCCUUCCAUUGAGGCUGGCUGUCAGGGUUCUUCAAAAGUCCAUGGGACAAGCAUUAAUCUGCCUGUUCUGCUCCCCACUAUGUCUCCAAUGAAUCCUCUCACCAGCCCUGCACCUCUGGCCUG